UUUCCGUAGGUGAACCUGAGGAAGGAUCAUAAUUGCAUUUUGAAACUACAGGCUGCUGCUGGCUCUCCUCGGAGGGCAUGUGCACGCUUGUUGUCCUUUAUUUCUCCCACUGUGCACAAAUUGUAGACCUUUCAGUAGGCCUAUGUUGUUUUUCACAAUCUCUGAAUGUAAUAAAUGGGUUUUGAAUCUUGGGAAAUACAAUACAACUUUCAGCAACGAAUCUCUUGGCUCUCGCAUCGAUGAAGAACGCUGC
This 253-nucleotide unclassified non-coding RNA is filed under the name plant metagenome. RNAcentral describes it as "partial contains small subunit ribosomal RNA, internal transcribed spacer 1, and 5.8S ribosomal RNA". The stretch from base 205 to 253 matches the Rfam family "5.8S ribosomal RNA", at positions 1 to 49 of the family's 154-position model. The record is from RNAcentral.